Molecule: ribosomal RNA, 793 nt
Filed under: Acaphyllisa sp. 18sr18
Lineage: Eukaryota; Metazoa; Arthropoda; Arachnida; Trombidiformes; Eriophyidae
Description: bacterial SSU rRNA
Rfam family: Eukaryotic small subunit ribosomal RNA
Source: RNAcentral
ACAAGCCUGAGAAACGGCUAGUAGGACUAGGUCUGCAGCAGGCGCGAAACUUACACAAUGCUAGAUUAUCUAUAGCGAUGUAGUGAAGAAAAAUAACGAUGUACUUCCGUUUAAACAUGGUAGUACAAUUGGAAUGAGACGACUCUAAACCAGUUAGUCGAGUAACAAAUGGAGGGCAAGUCUGGUGCCAGCAGCCGCGGUAAUUCCAGCUCCAUUAGCAUACAUUAAAGUUGUUGCGGUUAAAAAGCUCGUAGUUGAAUUUUAGGCGGGCUCUAUUGGGAUGCAUGCUGAAAAGGCUCGCAAGAUACCUCUGAUAAACAUUGUUUUUCAUGUUCUUACGUAGCUGGCUGUAUUUUCCCUAUAGGAACCCGUCGUUUCGUCACUUAUUCGAGUGCGAAGCGUGCUGGAACAUAGCGAAACUUCGGUUUCAAUGUUACAGCAAGUUUACCUUGAGAAAAUUAGAGUGCUCACAGCAGGCAGUUGGGGUGUAAAAGCUCCUUUAUGCUUGAAUAAUGUUGCAUGGAAUAAUAGAAUACGGCCUCGGUUCUAUUCUGUUGGUCUUAUAGAACAACAAACAAGUUGGUUAAAGCGAUCAAAAGUUAACUCGUGGGUGUGGCUUUAUAGUUAAAUUAAUAUCAAUUUUGUUGUCUGGGGCCUUAAAAUCUCAGUACCAUAUUGGUAAUUUAUUUAGCUUUUAGUCAUUUAAAGCACCCCCUGUUAAUUAGCUUUCUAAUCAACUGAGGCAAUGGUUAAAAGAAAUAGUCGCGGCGGCAUCAGUACUGCAUCGUGAGAG